UACGGGAGGCAGCAGUGGGGAAUCUUGCACAAUGGGCGAAAGCCUGAUGCAGCGACGCCGCGUGCGGGAUGAAGGCCCUCGGGUUGUAAACCGCUUUCAGCAGGGACGAGGCGCAAGUGACGGUACCUGCAGAAGAAGCCCCGGCUAACUACGUGCCAGCAGCCGCGGUAAU
Molecule: ribosomal RNA, 172 nt
Filed under: uncultured rumen bacterium
Lineage: Bacteria
Description: partial 16S ribosomal RNA
Rfam family: Bacterial small subunit ribosomal RNA
Source: RNAcentral